Molecule: ribosomal RNA, 505 nt
Filed under: uncultured bacterium
Lineage: Bacteria
Description: partial 16S ribosomal RNA
Rfam family: Bacterial small subunit ribosomal RNA
Source: RNAcentral
GACGAACGCUGGCGGCGUGCCUAAUACAUGCAAGUAGAACGCACAGUUUAUACCGUAGCUUGCUACACCAUAGACUGUGAGUUGCGAACGGGUGAGUAACGCGUAGGUAACCUGCCUGGUAGCGGGGGAUAACUAUUGGAACCAAUACCUAAUACCGCAUAUUAUUAAUUAUUGCUUGAUAAUUAAUUGAAAGUUCCAAUUGAACACUACCCAAAUGGACCUGCGUUUUAUUAGAUGUUAGGUGAGUUAACGGCGCACCUAGGCGCCGAUACAUACCCGACCUGAGAGGGUGAUCGGCCAACCUGGGACUGGGACAAGGCCCAGACUCCUACGGGAGGCAGCAGUAGGGAAUCUUCGGCAAUGGACGAAAGUCUGAGCGAGCAACGCCGCGGGAGUGAAGAAGGUUUUCGGAUCGUAAAGCUCUGUUGUAAGAGAAGAACGGGGGUGAGAGUGGAAAGUUCACACUGUGACGGUAUCUUACCAGAAAGGGACGGCUAACUACGUG